This 371-nucleotide ribosomal RNA is filed under the name uncultured bacterium. Its description in RNAcentral is "bacterial SSU rRNA". It matches the Rfam family "Bacterial small subunit ribosomal RNA", at positions 527 to 896 of the family's 1533-position model. The record is from RNAcentral.
GUCCGGGGCAAGCGUUGUCCGGAUUUAUUGGGCGUAAAGAGCGUGUAGGCGGCCGCACAGGUCCGUUGUGAAAACUGGAGGCUUAACCUUCAGACGUCGAUGGAAACCGUGCGGCUAGAGUCCGGAAGAGGAGAAUGGAAUUCCUGGUGUAGCGGUGAAAUGCGCAGAUAUCAGGAAGAACACCCGUGGCUAAGGCGGUUCUCUAGUACGGUACUGACGCUGAGACGCGAAAGCGUGGGGAGCGAACAGGAUUAGAUACCCUGGUAGUCCACGCCGUAAACGAUGGGUGCUAGGUGUGGGGGGUGUCGACUCCCCCCGUGCCGAAGCUAACGCAUUAAGCACCCCGCCUGGGGAGUACGGCCGCAAGGCUA